This 477-nucleotide ribosomal RNA is filed under the name Parasterope styx. RNAcentral's name for it is "eukaryotic LSU rRNA". It matches the Rfam family "Eukaryotic large subunit ribosomal RNA", at positions 2398 to 2825 of the family's 3401-position model. The record is from RNAcentral. Lineage: Eukaryota; Metazoa; Arthropoda; Ostracoda; Myodocopida; Cylindroleberididae.
GGAGGAAUUAGGCGGGGAAAGAAGACCCCUGUUGAGCUUGACUCUAGUCUGGCACUGUGAAGAGACACGAGAGGUGUAGCAUAAGUGGGAGACCCUCCAUSCUCCACAUGGUAAAGGGGGUGUCGCAAGUGAAAUACCACUACUUUCGUCGUUUCUUUACUUACUCGGUGAGGCGGAGAGAGGAGAAAAACUCACCUUUCUAGCCUUAAGUGUGGUGGCCGUCGUGUCCUGCACGAUCCGAUCCGAGGACACCGCCAGGUGGGGAGUUUGACUGGGGCGGUACAUCUGUCAAAAGCUAAACGCAGGUGUCCUAAGGCCGGCUCAGCGAGGACGGAAACCUCGCGUAGAGCAAAAGGGCAAAAGCCGGCUUGAUCUGGAUUUUCAGUACGACAUACAGACUGUGAAAACAUGGCCUAUCGCAUCCUCUUGCACUUUAGGAGUUUUAAGCAAGAGGUGUCAGAAAAGUUCACCACAGGG